This is a long non-coding RNA of Cynoglossus semilaevis (tongue sole), 496 nucleotides long. RefSeq lists it as uncharacterized. The transcript is spliced from 3 exons. NCBI's taxonomy places the organism in Eukaryota, Metazoa, Chordata, Actinopteri, Pleuronectiformes, Cynoglossidae. The record is from RefSeq and is a predicted model, not a curated record.
UUUGUCAUUUCACCUAGAUAAUUCACAAAGAGCCAAGGACAUCACAAAGAGUAUUGCCAUGAUGAUCGUGAAGGACCUACAACCCCUCUCUGUGGUUGAACAGGAGGGUUUCAAGAAUUUAAUAAAGACACUUGAUCCCCGCUACAGGAUGCCAAGUGAUUUCUCACGGCAGCUAGGAGCACACACAGGGAACAAGUGGAGCAAAUCCGCUUUCUUCUCGUUCUCCAAACCAGCAGACAGUUGGCAGUAUGUGGUUUAUAGACCUGGCAGGAAGUGAAAGGGCAUCAGACACCAAAAAAACAAACAGACACAGUCGCAUAGAAGGAGCUGAGAUCAACCAAAGUCUCUUAGCAGUAAGCUAAGUAAGUGAUAUGUUAACACACACAAAGAGCUCAAAUACAGAAACAAAGGUCAUUGUAUUUACCUUUUAUUUGUUUAAAGCUCAAAGAAUUGUAGGUGCAAUGGGUCGAGUGCUGCUUAGGAGCACUCGGUGUUA